UGGGGAAUCUUGCACAAUGGGCGCAAGCCUGAUGCAGCCAUGCCGCGUGUGUGAAGAAGGCCUUCGGGUUGUAAAGCACUUUCAGCGGGGAGGAAGGCGGUGAGGUUAAUAACCUCAUCGAUUGACGUUACCCGCAGAAGAAGCACCGGCUAACUCCGUGCCAGCAGCCGCGGUAAUACGGAGGGUGCAAGCGUUAAUCGGAAUUACUGGGCGUAAAGCGCACGCAGGCGGUCUGUCAAGUCGGAUGUGAAAUCCCCGGGCUCAACCUGGGAACUGCAUUCGAAACUGGCAGGCUAGAGUCUUGUAGAGGGGGGUAGAAUUCCAGGUGUAGCGGUGAAAUGCGUAGAGAUCUGGAGGAAUACCGGUGGCGAAGGCGGCCCCCUGGACAAAGACUGACGCUCAGGUGCGAAAGCGUGGGGAGCAAACAGG
This 429-nucleotide ribosomal RNA is filed under the name Chloroflexota bacterium. Its description in RNAcentral is "Chloroflexi bacterium partial 16S ribosomal RNA". It matches the Rfam family "Bacterial small subunit ribosomal RNA", at positions 355 to 776 of the family's 1533-position model. The record is from RNAcentral. Lineage: Bacteria; Bacillati; Chloroflexota.